UACGAAGGGUGCAAGCGUUACUCGGAAUUACUGGGCGUAAAGCGUGCGUAGGUGGUUUGUUAAGUCUGAUGUGAAAGCCCUGGGCUCACCCUGGGAAUUGCAUUGGAUACUGGCAGGCUAGAGUGCGGUAGAGGGUAGUGGAAUUCCCGGUGUAGCGGUGACAUGCGUAGAGAUCGGGAGGAACCCCAGUGGCGAAGGCGACUACCUGGCCCAGCACUGACGCUGAGGCGCGAAAGCGUGGGGAGCAAACAGG
RNAcentral lists this ribosomal RNA (253 nucleotides) under uncultured bacterium. Its description in RNAcentral is "partial 16S ribosomal RNA". It matches the Rfam family "Bacterial small subunit ribosomal RNA", at positions 524 to 776 of the family's 1533-position model. The record is from RNAcentral.